RNAcentral lists this small nucleolar RNA (126 nucleotides) under Arabidopsis lyrata subsp. lyrata. RNAcentral describes it as "Small nucleolar RNA snoR9". It matches the Rfam family "Small nucleolar RNA snoR9". Rfam says of the family: snoR9 is a member of the C/D class of snoRNA which contain the C (UGAUGA) and D (CUGA) box motifs. Most of the members of the box C/D family function in directing site-specific 2'-O-methylation of substrate RNAs. Lineage: Eukaryota; Viridiplantae; Streptophyta; Magnoliopsida; Brassicales; Brassicaceae. The record is from Rfam by way of RNAcentral.
AUGUCGAAUUGGAUGUUCAAAAUUUAAGUUCUGGAUAUCUUUGUUGAUGUGAAAAACACAGAACAGUGAAGAACAAGACGAGUAGAAAAAAAAGACAUUUCAUAUUUCCUUUGAUGAUGAUGACAU